UACAGAGGGUGCGAGCGUUGUUCGGAAUUACUGGGCGUAAAGCGCGCGCAGGCGGCCCUUUAAGUCUACCCGUGAAAUGCCGGAGCUCAACUCCGUGCACGCCGGGGGAUACUGGAGGGCUGGAGACGAGUAGAGGCAAGCGGAAUUCCGGGUGUAGCGGUGGAAUGCGUAGAUAUCCGGAAGAACACCGGAGGCGAAGGCGGCUUGCUGGGCUUGGUCUGACGCUGAGGCGCGAAAGCGUGGGGAGCGA
RNAcentral lists this ribosomal RNA (250 nucleotides) under uncultured bacterium. Its description in RNAcentral is "partial 16S ribosomal RNA". It matches the Rfam family "Bacterial small subunit ribosomal RNA", at positions 524 to 771 of the family's 1533-position model. The record is from RNAcentral.